CGAACAUGAGGCAAAAAAAAAAAAAAAACGACACACACGCACGCUCACCAGACGCGACGCAACCCUAAGCUAGCGCGGCGGCGGCGGCUGGCCAGGUCGCGAGGACCAGGCGGGCGACUGACGACGGCGGCAGGCUGGGGGCUUAGAGGGCUGCGGCAGCAAGCUCCAGCGGUGGCUGCAGCGCGGCUCCAGCUAAGGCAGCAAGCGACGUCUUCAGCGGCGGCAGCAACCGGUGGCUCCAGUGGCGGCAGCAAGCUCCAUUGGGAUUUUCCUGGCAAUUCCUUGGUAAUUACUCAGGGUCCGAACCAGAGACUAGUUGCAGCCACUUUGUUAGAUUACUAGAAGAUGGAUAGAAAGGGGAAUGGACUAGCAAAUCCAAAGAAAAGGGGAAGAGAUUUGAAGAAGUAUUUUGAAGUGCUUGGUAGUGGCAGCAACUCAAAAUCAAAUCCAAGCACCCGUGAAAGUGUCAAUAUUUCGGCACAUGCCAUUGAAAGCUUCAUUAUCGGUAUAUUUUAGGUGGAUCGGCAGUCAAGCAUUCUGCAGCGAGAAUCACCGGUGUUGCAAGGCAAGCCAGAGAAAGAAACAACAUUCGGGGGCACAGGAUUUUGUGGCCUGGAGAAGAUGGUGUGAUGUACGCAUUCUAGAGACUAGAGCCAACCAGGGGUGGUGCCUUGAUGGUGAGCGUUAUUGUACGCACUUCACUUGUGUUGUCAAGAAAAUGGAACAGUGCACUCGUGCUCAUAGUUAUCUAGCGGAUUUGUGAUUAGGAGGCGCCCGGGGCGUCGGAUCCGCUUCACGAUUCGCGACGGUGGUUCGGUUUUGUAUGUGGACUGCGGUAGAGACAAGUGGAGCAGAAGACGCCGUUUUAUCACUUGUCCUUUUCCAUGUUUUUACUUCUUUCCUUGUGGUUUAGAUGGAGAGAAAAAAGUUCAUGUUUCUUACCGUGUAAGAAAUGUAUUCUACUAGUUAUUUGGAUAUUUUGAGUCAUUAUUAUUUAAAAGAAUAACAAAUCAUGUAUUUCUCUACA
Molecule: long non-coding RNA, 1027 nt
Organism: Triticum aestivum (bread wheat)
Lineage: Eukaryota; Viridiplantae; Streptophyta; Magnoliopsida; Poales; Poaceae
Exons: 4
Source: RefSeq, a predicted model, not a curated record